UAAAAAGCAACAUUUAGAUUCUUCUCAAGUUUUCACUAUUAGAAAUGAGUGCAAAGAACAUUCCACUCAGUAUUUCUGGUUGUUUUAUUAGAACAAACACCUACAACUGACACUGUGCCACCUCUCAGAGCUGGACUCCAGGGCCACGACUGGGACACCUUCCUUUUCCAUCGCUUCUCUCACCAGGCAGUGGGCACCGGUGGCAUUCAAAUCUGAAGUGAUCUGCAAGCUGACGGAAAGGACUUCGUUCAAACGUCAGAUUACUAUCAUUUCACACCAUGCCUUUCCACCUCCUAUCAAGACAUCACACAGAUGCAGUGGCAAGCUAGGAAUUUGAUGGCCGCACUGCUGAAGAGAGAAAUCCUGUCCUGCCUCUUCAAACACUGCCCUGGCCCUCGUUCCCCUGUGCAGUGGUUAGCCCUCUGCCCGUCUUUAUUUCCACUCUGUGGUGGGUCUUGAAAGAGGGGCAACAUCUUGGAUUGCAGUGGGUCAGUGUCAAUCUGGACUUUCUAACAGGACGGAACGACAUGCAUGAGAUGACUCUCCCUGUGUUCACAUUAGUUUGUUGGCAGCCACAUCACUCUGUUGACAGGUGCCGUGGUCUCAAUAAAAACAUCCAGGUCCAAUGCAUGUGUGCUGCUGGGGACAGACCUGGAGCUAUA
Long non-coding RNA from Myotis myotis, 662 nucleotides. RefSeq lists it as uncharacterized. NCBI's taxonomy places the organism in Eukaryota, Metazoa, Chordata, Mammalia, Chiroptera, Vespertilionidae. The transcript is spliced from 2 exons. The record is from RefSeq and is a predicted model, not a curated record.